UUAAUAUGAUGAAUUAAACUAACUCACUAUGACUGACACAAUGAAAAUGUGAGCAUCUGAUAAAG
Molecule: small nucleolar RNA, 65 nt
Organism: Microcebus murinus (gray mouse lemur)
Lineage: Eukaryota; Metazoa; Chordata; Mammalia; Primates; Cheirogaleidae
Source: Ensembl